UAACACAUGCAAGUCGAACGCAGUAGCAAUACUGAGUGGCAGACGGGUGAGUAUAAUGUGGGAAUCUGCCUUUUGGUUCGGAAUAACACGAGGAAACUUGUGCUAAUACCGGAUAAGCCUUCACAGGGAAAGUUUUAAUGCCAAAGAUGGAGCCCGCACCUUGAUAGGCUAGUUGGUUAAGGGUAAUAAGCUUACCAAGGGCAAACGAUUCAAUAGCUGUUCUUAGAGGAAGACCAGCCACCAUUGGGACUGAGACACGGCCCAAACUCCUACGGGAGGCAGCAGUGGGGAAUCUUGCACAAUGGGGGAAACCUGAUGCAGCGAUGCCGCGUGAGUGAAGAAGGCCUUUUGGGUUGUAAAACUCUUUCGUCGGGGAAGAAAAUGACUGUACCCGAAUAAGAAGGUCCGGCUAACUUCGUGCCAGCAGCCGCGGUAAAACGAAGGGACCUAGCGUAGUUCGGAAUUACUGGGCUUAAAGAGCUCGUAGGUGGUUAAAAAAGUUGAUGGUGAAAUCCCAAGGCUCAACCUUGGAACUGCCAUCAAAACUUUUUAGCUAGAGUAUGAUAGAGGAAAGUGGAAUUUCUAAUGUAGAGGUGAAAUUCGUAGAUAUUAGAAAGAACAUCAAAUGCGAGGGCAACUUUCUGGAUCAUUACUGACACUGAGGAGCGAAAGCAUGGGUAGCGAAGAGGAUUAGAUACCCUCGUAGUCCAUGCCGUAAACGAUGUGUGCUAGACGUUGGAAACUUAGUUUCAGUGUCGCAGCGAAAGCAUUAAGCACACCGCCUGGGGAGUACGACCGCAAGGUUAAAACUCAAAUGAAUUGACGGGGACCCGCACAAGUAGUGGGAGCAUGUGGUUUAAUUCGAAGAUACGCGCAGAACCUUACCAACACUUGACAUGUUCGUCGCGAGCCUAAGAGAUUAGGCUUUUCAGCUCGGCUGGACGAAACACAGGUGCUGCAUGGCUGUCGUCAGCUCGUGUCGUGAGAUGUUGGGUUAAGUCCCGCAACGAGCGCAACCCCUAUCUUUAGUUGCCACCAUUUAGUUGGGCACUCUAGAGAGACUGCCAGUGAUAAGCUGGAGGAAGGCGGGGAUGACGUCAAGUCCUCAUGGCCCUUACGUGUUGGGCUACACACGUGCUACAAUGGUACUUACAACGGGAAGCAAAGAUGCAAGUCUAAGCCAAUCCUAAAAAUGUACCUCAGUUCGGAUUGCACUCUGUAACUCGAGUGCAUGAAGCUGGAAUUACUAGUAAUCGCGGAUCAGCGCGCCGCGGUGAAUACGUUCCCGGGUCUUGUACACACCGCCCGUCACACCAUGGAAGUUGGUUACACCUUAAGGCAAAUCGUCAACCCUCGGGAGACAUUUGACUACGGUACGAUCAGCAACUGGGGUG
Molecule: ribosomal RNA, 1394 nt
Filed under: uncultured Pelagibacterales bacterium
Lineage: Bacteria; Pseudomonadati; Pseudomonadota; Alphaproteobacteria; Candidatus Pelagibacterales
Description: bacterial SSU rRNA
Rfam family: Bacterial small subunit ribosomal RNA
Source: RNAcentral